UGCCGAAGGCCGGAAUCGAACCGGCACGGGCUAUUCGCCCACUGGUUUUUGAGACCAGCGCGUCUACCAGUUCCGCCACUUCGGC
This 85-nucleotide transfer RNA is filed under the name Candidatus Hakubella thermalkaliphila. RNAcentral's name for it is "Candidatus Hakubanella thermoalkaliphilus tRNA-Leu". Lineage: Bacteria; Bacillati; Actinomycetota; Candidatus Hakubellales; Candidatus Hakubellaceae. The record is from RNAcentral.